CAGCCGCCGCGGUAAUACGUAGGUCCCGAGCGUUGUCCGGAUUUAUUGGGCGUAAAGCGAGCGCAGGCGGUUAGAUAAGUCUGGAGUUAAAGGCUGUGGCUUAACCAUAGUAUGCUUUGGAAACUGUUUAACUUGAGUGCAGAAGGGGAGAGUGGAAUUCCAUGUGUAGCGGUGAAAUGCGUAGAUAUAUGGAGGAACACCGGUGGCGAAAGCGGCUCUCUGGUCUGUAACUGACGCUGAGGCUCGAAAGCGUGGGGAGCAAACAGGAUUAGAUACCCGCGUAGUCCCUGUCUCUUAUACC
Molecule: ribosomal RNA, 301 nt
Filed under: uncultured bacterium
Lineage: Bacteria
Description: partial 16S ribosomal RNA
Rfam family: Bacterial small subunit ribosomal RNA
Source: RNAcentral